Molecule: ribosomal RNA, 508 nt
Filed under: uncultured bacterium
Lineage: Bacteria
Description: partial 16S ribosomal RNA
Rfam family: Bacterial small subunit ribosomal RNA
Source: RNAcentral
GACGAACGCUGGCGGCGUGCCUAAUACAUGCAAGUCGAGCGCUUCUUUCCUCCCGAGUGCUUGCACUCAAUUGGAAAGAGGAGUGGCGGACGGGUGAGUAACACGUGGGUAACCUACCCAUCAGAGGGGGAUAACACUUGGAAACAGGUGCUAAUACCGCAUAACAGUUUAUGCCGCAUGGCAUAAGAGUGAAAGGCGCUUUCGGGUGUCGCUGAUGGAUGGACCCGCGGUGCAUUAGCUAGUUGGUGAGGUAACGGCUCACCAAGGCCACGAUGCAUAGCCGACCUGAGAGGGUGAUCGGCCACACUGGGACUGAGACACGGCCCAGACUCCUACGGGAGGCAGCAGUAGGGAAUCUUCGGCAAUGGACGAAAGUCUGACCGAGCAACGCCGCGUGAGUGAAGAAGGUUUUCGGAUCGUAAAACUCUGUUGUUAAAGAAGAACAAGGACGUUAGUAACUGAACGUCACCUGACGGUAUCUAACCAGAAAGCCACGGCUAACUACGUG